GAGGUCAGAUGUGAGACUCUUCAGAUGGCUUUACUGUCUCUUACUUCCAAUCCGUGAAAUUGACCUUCCCGUGAAGAGGCGGGAAUAAAACAAUAAAACGAGAAGACCCUAUGGAGCUUUAAUUAACCGACCCAAAGAGACCCCAUUAAUUAACCGACAGGAACAACAAAUCUCUAUAUGGGCCGACAAUUUAGGUUGGGGUGACCUCGGAGAACAAAACAACCUCCGAGUGAUUUAAAUCUAGACUAACCAGUCAAAAGUAUUACAUCACUUAUUGAUCCAAAAACUUGAUCAACGGAACAAGUUACCCUAGGGAUAACAGCGCAAUCCUAUUUCAGAGUCCAUAUCGACAAUAGGGUUUACGACCUCGAUGUUGGAUCAGGACAUCCCGAUGGUGCAGCAGCUAUCAAAGGUUCGUUUGUUCAACGAUUAAAGUCCUACGUGAUCUUAGUUCAGACCGGAGUAAUCCAGGUCGGUUUCUAUCUAUUAAAUAAUUUCUCCCAGUACGAAAGGACAAGAGAAAUAAGGCCCACUUUACCAAAGCGCCUUCAACCAAAUAGAUGAUAUAAUCUUAAUCUAGACAGUUUAUCUAAUUACACUACCCGAGGGCUCGGGUUUGUUAGGGUGGCAGAGCCCGGUAACUGCAUAAAACUUAAGCUUUUAUUAUCAGAGGUUCAAUUCCUCUCCUUAACAACAUGUUCAUAAUCAAUAUCCUCUCACUAAUUAUUCCCAUUCUCCUCGCUGUAGCCUUCCUAACCUUAGUUGAACGAAAAGUACUAGGUUACAUGCAACUCCGCAAAGGACCAAAUGUCAUAGGACCAUACGGCCUACUCCAACCCAUCGCAGACGCCGUAAAACUCUUCACUAAAGAACCCCUCCGACCCCUCACAUCCUCUAUAUUCAUAUUCAUUAUAGCACCAAUCCUAGCCCUCACACUAGCCCUAACCAUAUGAAUCCCAUUACCUAUGCCAUACCCACUCAUUAACAUAAACCUAGGAGUACUAUUUAUACUAGCCAUAUCAAGCCUAGCUGUCUACUCUAUCCUAUGAUCAGGGUGGGCCUCAAAUUCAAAAUACGCCCUAAUCGGAGCCCUACGAGCCGUAGCCCAAACAAUCUCAUAUGAAGUCACACUAGCCAUCAUCCUCCUAUCAGCACUACUAAUAAAUGGGUCCUUCACAUUAGCUACACUAAUCACCACCCAAGAAUAUAUAUGAUUAAUCAUUCCUGCAUGACCCCUAGCCAUGAUAUGGUUUAUCUCAACACUAGCAGAAACCAACCGGGCCCCAUUCGACCUAACAGAAGGAGAAUCAGAACUCGUCUCCGGAUUCAAUGUAGAAUAUGCAGCAGGCCCCUUCGCCCUAUUCUUCCUAGCGGAAUACGCUAACAUCAUCAUAAUAAAUAUCCUCACAACAAUUCUAUUCUUCGGAGCAUUCCACAACCCUUAUAUACCAGAACUAUACACUGUCAACUUUACAGUAAAAACCCUAUUCUUAACAACAAUCACUUUCUUAUGAAUCCGAGCAUCCUACCCACGAUUCCGAUAUGACCAACUAAUACACCUCUUAUGAAAAAAUUUCCUACCUCUUACCCUAGCCUUAUGCAUGUGACACGUAUCCCUGCCUAUUAUUACAGCAAGCAUCCCACCUCAAACAUAAGAAAUAUGUCUGACAAAAGAGUUACUUUGAUAGAGUAAAACAUAGAGGUUUGAACCCUCUUAUUUCUAGAAUUAUAGGAAUCGAACCUAAUCCUAAGAAUCCAAAAAUCUUUGUGCUACCAUUAUCACACCACAUUCUAAAGUAAGGUCAGCUAAAUAAGCUAUCGGGCCCAUACCCCGAAAAUGUUGGUUUAUACCCUUCCCAUACUAAUCAAACUCCCUAUUUUUAUUAUCAUUAUAUUAACCAUUAUCUCAGGAACUAUAAUUGUAAUAACAACCUCCCAUUGGCUUAUAGUCUGAAUCGGCUUUGAAAUAAACCUACUAGCCAUUAUUCCCAUCCUCAU
Molecule: long non-coding RNA, 1998 nt
Organism: Herpailurus yagouaroundi (jaguarundi)
Lineage: Eukaryota; Metazoa; Chordata; Mammalia; Carnivora; Felidae
Exons: 3
Source: RefSeq, a predicted model, not a curated record